CACUCUACGGGAGGCAGCAGUGGGGAAUUUUGGACAAUGGGCGAAAGCCUGAUCCAGCAAUGCCGCGUGUGUGAAGAAGGCCUUCGGGUUGUAAAGCACUUUUGUCCGGAAAGAAAUCCUUGGCUCUAAUACAGUCGGGGGAUGACGGUACCGGAAGAAUAAGCACCGGCUAACUACGUGCCAGCAGCCGCGGUAAUACGUAGGGUGCGAGCGUUAAUCGGAAUUACUGGGCGUAAAGCGUGCGCAGGCGGUUUGCUAAGACCGAUGUGAAAUCCCCGGGCUCAACCUGGGAACUGCAUUGGUGACUGGCAGGCUAGAGUAUGGCAGAGGGGGGUAGAAUUCCACGUGUAGCAGUGAAAUGCGUAGAGAUGUGGAGGAAUACCGAUGGCGAAGGCAGCCCCCUGGGCCAAUACUGACGCUCAUGCACGAAAGCGUGGGGAGCAAACAGGAUUAGAUACCCUUGUAGUCCC
RNAcentral lists this ribosomal RNA (470 nucleotides) under uncultured organism. RNAcentral's name for it is "partial 16S ribosomal RNA". It matches the Rfam family "Bacterial small subunit ribosomal RNA", at positions 334 to 797 of the family's 1533-position model. The record is from RNAcentral.